This 21-nucleotide non-coding RNA is filed under the name Caenorhabditis elegans. The record is from RNAcentral. Lineage: Eukaryota; Metazoa; Nematoda; Chromadorea; Rhabditida; Rhabditidae.
UUUCGGGAUCUUAAGAUUUGU